UACGAAGGGUGCUAGCGUUGUUCGGAAUUACUGGGCGUAAAGGGCGCGUAGGCUGUGCUGUAAGUCAGGCGUGAAAUCCCCGGGCUCAACCUGGGAAUUGCGCAUGAUACUGCGGCGCUUGAAGACGGGAGAGGAUGGCGGAAUUCCCAGUGUAGAGGUGAAAGUCGUAGAUAUUGGGAAGAACACCAGUGGCGAAGGCGGCUCACGGGCCCGGUACUGACGCUGAGAUACGAAAGCGUGGGGAGCAAAAAGG
Molecule: ribosomal RNA, 253 nt
Filed under: uncultured bacterium
Lineage: Bacteria
Description: partial 16S ribosomal RNA
Rfam family: Bacterial small subunit ribosomal RNA
Source: RNAcentral